UCUGGUUGAUCCUGCCAGACCCGACUGCUAUCGGAUUGGGAUUUAGCCAUGUUAGUUGUGCGUCCUUGGCUACAGGGACGCAGCGUACGGCUCAGUAACACGUAGUCAACCUGCCCUGGAGACGCGGACAAACCCGGGAAACUGGGGCCUAUCCGCGAUAGAUGACCUCAUCUGGAAGGAGAGGUCGUCGAAAAGGGCGCACGGGUAUGCUCUGUGCGAACCGCUCCAGGAUGGGACUGCGGCCGAUCAGGCUGUUGGCGGGGUAAUGGCCCACCAAACCUGUAACCGGUACGGGCUUUGAGAGAAGGAGCCCGGAGAUGGACACUGAGACAAGGGUCCAGGCCCUACGGGGCGCAUCAGGCGCGAAACCUUCGCAAUGCGCGAAAGCGUGACGAGGCUAGUCCGAGUGCUUCCUGCUAAAGGGAGCUUUUCUCGGCUGUAAAUAGGCCGGGGAAUAAGGGGAGGGCAAGUCUGGUGUCAGCCGCCGCGGUAAUACCAGCUCCUCGAGUGGUCGGGACGAUUAUUGGGCCUAAAGCACCCGUAGCCGGUUCCGUAAGUCCUCUGUUAAAUCCAGUCGCUCAACGGCUGGUCUGCAGAGGAUACUGCGGGACUAGGAGGCGGGAGAGGCGGACGGUACUCCGCGUGUAGGGGUAAAAUCCUUUGAUCCGCGGAAGACCACCAGUGGCGAAGGCGGUCUGCCAGAACGCGCUCGACGGUGAGGGGUGAAAGCUGGGGGAGCGAACCGGAUUAGAUACCCGGGUAGUCCCAGCCGUAAACGAUGCGAGCUAGAUGAUUCGAUCGCAGUUCGCGAUCGAAGUGUCGCAGGGAAGCCGUUAAGCUCGCCGCCUGGGGAGUACGGUCGCAAGGCUGAAUCGUAAGAAGAUCUUUUCUUCUUGCGCAGUUCACUUAAAGGAAUUGGCGGGGGAGCACCACAAGGGGUGAAGCCUGCGGUUCAAUUGGAUUCACGCCGG
Molecule: ribosomal RNA, 971 nt
Filed under: uncultured archaeon
Lineage: Archaea
Description: bacterial SSU rRNA
Rfam family: Archaeal small subunit ribosomal RNA
Source: RNAcentral